AACGCAGAAGUUAGCAACAAUUUUUGGAUUUUUUUUAUUUUGUUUUUAUUCGAUGCUUCAUAAAUGUCAAGUAAUUUAUGCUUUGAUUUUUUUAAGGUUUCAGGGAGACGCCCCAAAGCUCUGAAACCGCACCAAAAACCUACCUCCGAUGACUCCUUCUGCAACUUCCUCUCAAUCACCUCCUAAGCCUUUGAAGAACGCUAGCAAGGCUGCGAUUAAGGAGAUGCUUCUGACUCCGAGGUUCUACACGACUGAUUUUGAUGAGAUGGAGACGUUUUUCAACACCGAAGUCAACAAGAAUUUGAACCAAACUGAGUUUGAGGCUUUGCUCCAGAAGAAAUCAAGUCCCAUCUUCCAUUAGCCAGUAUUUCAUUUGCUUUAUCUGGUUCUCUAUUUCUAAUGUCUUCCUUCGGCUUUGUUUGGAAGUGUUUUGAAGUAUAUGUUUUACAUUAAACCAAUAUGCUAAAGAAAACAUAUUGUUAUUGCCAAUUUUGUUGUGGGUUUUUUUUCAGAUCAAUUCUUGCUUGCUUCUUUUUUGCAAGGAGGGAGACGACUGGAAGUUUGAAAAUUUUUCUUUCUAAUGAAGAUAAUUCAAUUGUGUCUGAAGCGUUUAUAUUGCUUUGAACUCAAUUUUCUAAUAUAUUUGAUAUCUUUAUGUAAUUUUUCCACCUCUCCCAUUUUUCUUGCAUUCAGUAACCAUUUUUGUUAUAUUUGUUUUGAUGGUCAAACAAAAAGUGUCCUCAAGGUGUUCGACAGAAGGCCUAUGAGACAAUCGAAGGGACAACAAUAUCUUGUUCUUGUUGGGGAACUUGUCUAGUGAGAAAUUUAGGUGGAGAGACAAAUGUUGUGUGACUAGGACAGCCAUACAUGUAGUCCGCCGAUAUAGAUAUAUGUUUGAUCUGUUUCAACCUGAACAGGUUAUUUGGGAGUCGUACAAAAUUAUUAUGCAUACUUUGCCUAAUUUUUGUACGAAUUG
Long non-coding RNA from Benincasa hispida (wax gourd), 976 nucleotides. RefSeq lists it as uncharacterized. The record is from RefSeq and is a predicted model, not a curated record. Lineage: Eukaryota; Viridiplantae; Streptophyta; Magnoliopsida; Cucurbitales; Cucurbitaceae.